RNAcentral lists this ribosomal RNA (253 nucleotides) under uncultured bacterium. RNAcentral's name for it is "partial 16S ribosomal RNA". It matches the Rfam family "Bacterial small subunit ribosomal RNA", at positions 524 to 776 of the family's 1533-position model. The record is from RNAcentral.
UACGAAGGAUCCAAGCGUUAUCCGGAUUUAUUGGGUUUAAAGGGUGCGUAGGCGGACUAUUAAGUCAGUGGUGAAAGCCUGCAGCUUAACUCGGAAACUGCCAUUGAUACUAUCUGUCUUGAAUUAUCUGGAGGUGAGCGGAAUAUGUCAUGUAGCGGUGAAAUGCUUAGAUAUGACAUAGAACACCAAUUGCGAAGGCAGCUCACUACGGAUAUAUUGACACUGAGGCACGAAGGCGUGGGGAUCAAACAGG